UUUGCGGUGGUUAUAGCGUCAGGGAAACGCCCGGAUCACCAUUCCGAACCCGGAAGCUAAGCCUGACAGCGCUGAUGGUACUGCACCCGAGAGAGUGUGGGAGAGUAAGACACCGCCGCAAA
RNAcentral lists this ribosomal RNA (122 nucleotides) under Brevibacterium mcbrellneri. Lineage: Bacteria; Bacillati; Actinomycetota; Actinomycetes; Micrococcales; Brevibacteriaceae. The record is from RNAcentral.